RNAcentral lists this transfer RNA (70 nucleotides) under Camelus bactrianus (Bactrian camel). It matches the Rfam family "tRNA". From Rfam's summary of the family: Transfer RNA (tRNA) molecules are approximately 80 nucleotides in length. Their secondary structure includes four short double-helical elements and three loops (D, anti-codon, and T loops). The record is from Rfam by way of RNAcentral. Lineage: Eukaryota; Metazoa; Chordata; Mammalia; Artiodactyla; Camelidae. RNAcentral also lists the same sequence under 1 other name.
GGAUGUAGCUCGGUGGUAGAGUGUGUGCUUAACAUGCAUGAGGUUCUGGGUUCAAUCCCCAGCACGUCCU